AUAUUGGACAAUGGGGGUAACCCUGAUCCAGCCGUGCGGCGGGCGUGAAGAAGGUCUGCGGAUUGUAAAGCACUUUAAGUUGGGAGGAAGGGCUUUAGGUUAAUACCCUGAAGUUUUGACGUUACCAUCAGAAGAGGCCCCGGCUAACUCGGGUCCGGCAGCCGCGGUAAUACAGAGGGUGCAAGCGUUAAUCGGAAUUACUGGGCGUAAAGCGCGCGUAGGUGGUUCAGUAAGAUGGGUGUGAAAUCCCCGGGCUUAACCUGGGAACUGCUUUCAUAACUGCUGAGCUAGAGUACGGUAGAGGGUAGUGGAAUUUCCUGUGUAGCGGUGAAAUGCGUAGAUAUAGGGAGGAACACCAGUGGCGAAGGCGACUACCUGGACUGAUACUGACACUGAGGUGCGAAAGCGUGGGGAGCAAAC
RNAcentral lists this ribosomal RNA (420 nucleotides) under uncultured bacterium. RNAcentral's name for it is "partial 16S ribosomal RNA". It matches the Rfam family "Bacterial small subunit ribosomal RNA", at positions 361 to 773 of the family's 1533-position model. The record is from RNAcentral.